RNAcentral lists this long non-coding RNA (12290 nucleotides) under Triticum aestivum (bread wheat). RNAcentral's name for it is "long non-coding RNA (TAES_LNC007760)". Lineage: Eukaryota; Viridiplantae; Streptophyta; Magnoliopsida; Poales; Poaceae. The record is from RNAcentral.
GCCCCUUGGUAGUCCCUCCCUCUCUUUCAGGUUGCUGCUGCUGAUGGCGAUGAUAGAAAUGGUAGCUCUAGUCCCAUGUAGUCGUUGUCCUGGAUCGGAGUGGUGAAAUUGCUAGCCUAGUUUCCUUUCUGCAGGGUCCUCUGCUCGGACCGCCCUCUGUUGCUUCGUGCUUUAUGUUUUAAUUCAGUCUCUGUCGUAUGUACCUAGUGUCGUGCCCGUGGCUGUUUUAAGAAUCCUGCCCCAGAUCUCAAUAUAUAUGGUGUUGAAAGGAAGAAAAUCAUCUUGAUACAUGCUUGUUCGAUCCUGUCACUCUGAAAUGUUUCUCUGUUUCACUCUGUUGCUGCAAUGUCGCUCUGUCCUGUGAUGCCAGGUUUCUGAAUGUUUGUUGUGGAGCCCUACAGUCUUGAUAUUUUGCUGAAAAUCUGAGUAAUCCCAUGGCUUCUGUUUCUUGAUUUUCUGAAUAAGAUGUUUGUGGUGUAACGAUGGGGUCUUGAUGUUUUGUUGAAAUCUGAGUGAUCCCACAAGCGGUCGAUGGAUAAGAUUGUACAGUCUUGGUUAUCUUUUUGGGAAUUUAUCUGUCGCUUUUGGUUCUGCUAACAACUCUCCGAUCUUGUCUUUUGCUGGCUUGUUGGUUCUUCUCUUCCUAGUAUCAACAUCAUGGCUCUAUCUAGUGAUGUGAAGUUUGUAAAAGAUCUUUACAUGACGUCUUCUGCUGAAAGUUGUUUUGUCACCUGCCUCCAAUUCCGUUUGUUACAUCAUUUUUGUGGUCCGAGCGUGACAUCAGUCUGACUACUCUUUGGCAGCAAUGGUCGUCUGACAUCACGGAAUGUUGUCAAGAUGCAGCACUAGCUACUCCUGUGGAGAUGUUUACGGAUAAGAUCCUACUGCUGGAUAUGAUUCUCUUGCUGCUGCUGGGUGAUCCCUUUUUGUCUUGUGCCAGCGAUUGUUCGAGAUGCUCUACUCCAGUUUGUGUGCUUGCUGCAAUUCGUUCCUGCAUCUGUUUAGGUCUUCUCAAAGUUUGGAUCGGAUGUCUUGGUGUGCCUGUGUUUUGGUUUUGGAGCAACUCUCCCUCUUGCUAGAUCUGAUGGGGGCAGCGCUCUGAUUCCUUGCUUUGGCAGCAACAGCUGGAGAUUUUGAUGCUGGGAAAAUGCACAACUAUAUCUGAUGUGACUCACUGAGAUUUCAGGAAGACAAGUCUCUGCCAGCAGCGAUUCGGGUUCGGACCUGUCCAUCCUUUUGGAGUUGCUGUUUCAGCAAUUUGUUUGAUCUGGAAGCUGGCAUGAGGUUCUCUAUGCUUACCUAGUUUGACUGUUGUUCUUUUGGUGAUGUACUGUGCUGUGCUUGCUCUUCAGUGACAGUGAGCUAACUCUUUGUUUCAGAAUGAUAAAAACACAUUAAGAGGCAAAACAUAAUUUCAAGCGUAGAAAAUACACUGGGACGCAAUUCAUAGAAGAAUAUCAAGCGUAGAUAUUGAAAUGCACCCAUUGCUUUGCUUGAAAAAUGAUUCUAUUAGUGAUUUUUUGUGGUGGAACCCUGAAGUGUCUUUGUAUUUGUUUCAAGUCCGAAUUAUUUAUUACGCAUCAUCUCCCUCGAUUGUUCUCAUUUGCAUAUCAUCUCCCAUGAUUGAUCUCAUUUCUCCAUUAUCUGAAUCUUUAGUCAGUACAUUGUCUCAUUCUCCUUCUAGAUGCGAUUCCUUCUUGUUCUGCUUGGUCACAUGUGGGGAGUGCUUUUUGCCGCUUGUGUUAUGUCCCUCUCUCAGGCUUGGAACGGCAGAGAUCUCUACAUGCAAUUCCUCCUGAUUGUACGGGAUGAGAAGGGCAAAGUUGCUCAUAAAUCUCUGACCAUCGACCAAGGAAGCAUAAAAAAAUAAAUAGAUAAGGACUUAGAGCCACCACAAAUAAAACACUGAUUGUUAACAAAUCCUAAAAAACCAAGUGAACACACGAUCAAAUCAGAUCCUAAACCAUGAGACCGGUUAAUAUGAUUAAGCAGCCCACCCACUCUAGCAACUUAUCAAAGGAAACUGGCUAUGAAUUAGUGUAAAUCGCAAACUCCCAAGACCUUCAUACUGGCAUAUGGUGGUGGUGGGAGUGGGAUGAUGCUUUGGUUGUUGUGUUAGUGAAGACGUGCACGUACUCGCAUUGCAGGUGAAGAGGGACACAUACACCAUUUAAAGACUAUGGUAGAUGGGUAUUUAAAGCAUUGCAGCGCCACCAGUUGAUUGGGAUUUGGUUUUGCUUGGGAGUAGUUUUCAUGAUGUGCUUUCCCUAUUAUGUGCUCUCUGCGUUUUUUUAAAAAUUUUUGUCUUCAGGAUUUUAGAUCUCAACAUCAGCUAUAAAAAAUGUUGAAAGGAAAUGGUACUAGACUCGGUUGUCUUCCUUCGUGUUAACCUUGCUCCUGGACGCGUUCUCUGUCAACUUGCGGAUUGCUCGGUGCUCUGCGGUGUUUUGCGGAAGUUUCUGAAUUUUUUGAGUAACAUUAUGAUGCCUGUCAGUAACCUUGCCUUAUCAGCUGAUGGAUAAGAUCAUGCGGAAUCUCCACGUGCUACUUCUAAGAAUCCUACCGAGAUCUCAGUAUAUAUGGUGUUGAAAAGAAAGAAAUGGGCAUCGAUACAUGCUUGUUUAAUCCUGUCCCUUUCAAAAAUUUCCGUGCUUAACACCCUUGCUGGGAUGGUGCGUUGUCCGAUGAUGAGAAGUGUCUGAAUGUUUCUGGGGCAACCGGGAUGUUUGGUUCAAGUCUGAAUGAUCCCGUGUAAAAAAAAUAAUCUGUUUUGUUGAUUGUCUGAAUCUAAAUCAUAUGAUGUAUAAGAUUGUUCUGUCUUGAUUCUAGUUCUGUAUCCGGUUCGUCCUGUGAAUUGUGAUCUGUAGUGCUGUUUACCAUUUGCCAUCUUGCUGUGGGGCAGCAAAUGUUUGGGAAUAUUCAGUAUUCUUGUCAUGUGUUUGUCUGUCAGCAGGUUGAUCUUGCUUGGUUCUGCCAAGUUUUUUGGGCCUUUUUUUUAUAGCUUUUGGAUCUGUCGAGUACUUUGAGGUUUUUGUCUUUUCUUUGUUUGUGGUUGUAGAGUAAAGGCCAUAGCCCGACUUUAUAAAUAAAGCCACACGGCAGCGUCACAGACCCGAACAAGAACGAAACCAACAGGCGAAACAUCGCAGUACACCGAACAGAAGUUUCGGACGAGCAAACGAAAUAGAUGGGUACAGGCAACCUGCCAUACACGGCGCGCAGGCCGGGAGGUAGAAGACUAGAAACAAACUACGAUAACAGCGACACCCUGAUUAGACGACGGGGUCCAACCCGGAGAUGUGGAUGCCGAAGCCCGGAUUUUGGCGAUGAGCAAGUCCAGGGCAUCCCGAUCUUCAUCCUUAGUCAAUGAUCUCCACUGCUGCAAUAGUAUACAUGAUUUGAAAAGAACGUCAGCCGGCUUAGACGGGAAGAUAUGUUCAAUAGUAAAUUUAUUCCUAAUAGUCCAAAGAGCCCAGCAUAAGGCACCCAGGCCGACCCAGAACACCCUCUUGGUAACCCCAACGAAAACUUUGGCUAGGUUUCUAAGCUCAGAGAAUGAGGAAGGGUUCCAAGAAACCUGGAGCCAAGAUCUGACACAACUCCAAACCAACUUAGCCAGCACGCAAUGAAAAAAAAUGCGUUCCGAGUUUUCCAAGGCACCACAUAAAUGACAGAACUCCGAGCCUGGCCCAUUGCGCUUUUUAAUCUGGUCGGCCGCCGGGAGGCGGCCACGAAAAGCUUGCCAAAGGAAGAUUUUAAUCUUAGGAGGGACUUUGGAAUUCCAGACACAAGAAAAUCUGCUCGAAGGGGUACCACCGAUAAGCCUAGAGUACAACGACUUAACCGAAAACCUGCCAGAGGCCGAAUGAGGCCAAACCACAGUGUCAGAAGACUCCGAGAGCACAGGGAAAAGGGCAGAGAGACUUUGCCAGUCUUCCAACUCUUCAGGAGACAGGGAACGACGAAAAGCCAGAUCCCAGUUAUUAGCCGCCACCUCCGCGAUGGAGAUAUCAGGUUUAGGGCAAUAAGAGAACAAAACCGGAAAACUAACAGCUAGGGGGGCAUCCCAGACCACCAGUCCAGUGAUGUGAGCCGUUGUAUCAAGUGAUGUGAGCUUCUAAAAUUUCUCUCUUCUUUAUAUGACGUUUUCUGAAAGAUUUGAGUUGUUUGUAAGGGACUGAAAGUGCCUCCAAUUAUGAACAAUUUGGUGCUUCUCCGUUGCACCUGGAGUUGGAUACAUCUUUGUGUGAUUCGGGCGUGAUAUUACAAGAUGUUGGGAAGAUGCAGUACUUCAAUAUUGUGGGGAAGAUGUCUGACUGGAUACGAUUAUGUUGCUGAUUCUGGGUGAUCCUUUUUUCCUUGUCUGCCUGCGAUUGUUGGAGUAGCCCAAUCUGUUCAUUCCUGGUGACGUGACGUGAGGUCUUCUGAAAGUUUGGGGUGACAGUCCAAGUCUUCAACCUUGCUAGAUUUGAUGGGGCAAAAAGUUGGAGAUUCUCUUCGCCCUCCACCUGGUUUUUCUGUUGCGUCUGCGGGGCGGCUGCGGUGCUCCCGUCUCGGGAGGUGGCGCGCGGCUGGUCUCUUGCUGGAUCCGGCCGGAUCUGGCGUUGGGGGCCGGCCGGCUGCGCGUGGCUUCGGUGGUGCGUGCCUGACGGCUCCGGCGCUUGGAGCUCGCCGGGCGACGCGGGUAGGGCAGCGGCCGGGCAUGGCCGUUGCUCCGGCCAUGGGCGGCAGCGUGCGGAGGUCCGGCGGUGUUGGCCUCCCGGUGUUGUGGUGGCUUCACGGUGGCUCGACGGAUCUGCCCACGACAACGUCCGGCUUCUCCGGCGUCGGCUCGUCUGCGUUCGGACCGUCUCGACCUUCGCCUCAUCUCCUCGUUGCCCAGGCGCUACUCCCAUCAAAGGGCUGGUCCUCUCCCAGUUGCGGUCCACCGCUCGUCUCGCGCCCGAUGCUGCAAUACCGAGCUUGUCUCGCGCACGGUGCAGCAGGACCGAGCUCGUCUCGCGCACGGUGUAGCAGGACUGACCUCGUCCCUCUCUCGGUGCUGCAGGACUGAGCUCGUCUCGCGCUCGGGGCAGCAGGACGGAUCGGUGGAUGCCAGUUCUGGCCGGCCUAUUGGGUCUCGACGCUGGGGUCGCCGAGAAGAGUUGUGUCUUAAAGUAAAGAUGAGGAUGUGGAAAUCUACACACACUUGUCUUUCAGGCCAAGUCCACCAGGGAUUUCCAAGGGGUGCGAAAGGUGGGACCUUUCUGCUCGUCUCUUUCGUUGGGGUUGCGGCGGGUCUCGGGUGAGUUGGAGUCAAGGUCUUGGAUGCUAGAGCGGCAGCCCUGGUGGUGGUAACGCGGUGCUCUUGGGUAGAGCCCGUGCCUUGCUACUGCCCGGUCACCAUGACCCUGUGGGGGGCGUGGUCCCAUGAUUGAGCUCACUUGUCUAUCACCUCCCACGAUUGUUCUCAUUUGUUCACAUCGGAAUCUUAAUUAAGUUGAUGGAUAAGUUUCUACAUUGUCUUAUUCUCUUUCUGGAUCCGAUUUCUUGUUGUGAUCCACACUGCUUUUGACCAUUAUUUUGGCUUGGCAGCAAUUGUUGGAGGUGUCAGACAAAUUCAGUGUUAUGGCCAUCCUCUGAUAGCAGUUGCUCUUGGUCAUGUUAUGUCUUUUUGGGGAUUUUGCCUAUUUGCCAGCAGUUGCUUUUGGUCAUGUUAGUUCUUUGGGACUUUGUAUUUUAUCGGUAGUUGGGAUCUUGGAUCUCAAUAUCUUCUUUCAAACUGUUGAAGGAAUGGUAUAAGGCUAAUAGUUGUCUUGCUUCAGUGUUAAUCCCGCUUAUGUGACUGAUCGGUGCUCUGCACCGUCAUGCGAAAGUUUCUGAAUUUUCGGAACGACACUCUGAGGUAUCUGUUAGUAACAGACCCCUUGCAGUUGAUGGAUAAGAUCACGCGGCGUCGUCCAUGUGAUUGUUCAGACUGAAUCUUAAUCAAUUGAAGGUGAUGCUCUACUAUUUUUUCACUUGUGGGAUGCACCGCUGGAUAAAAAAGAAGGUGGUGAGAGUUAUCCGCAAGUUUCUUUCAUGAAUUUAUUUCUGAAUGUUCCAGAUCUGAAGCAUCUCUAUGUGAGUAUGACAACCCGAUCUUGAAAGGUUCGGAAAUCUGUGUCUGAGUUAAGGAACAAGAAGGUGAGAAAGAGACACAGAGAGGCGAGAUUCAGAAUGUCACUUUCUCAUUCUUGCCCGUUGUAAUAAAUGGUACUGAGAUUUCGUUUGGAACUUGGUUCAGUUCUUCAUGGAGUCUACAUCGACUUCAGAAAUGGCCCUUGGUGCACAUGGCAUAACGAUCCAACGAUCUCAAUCAAGGUUGCCCGUGCCUUCAUUGCUUAUAUAUCCAUGCCUCCAACGCCUAGUAUUGCCGAGUUCCAACUCCAAACACUUGCGACUAUUUUGAGGUUGCCAUCUUAGAAUGAACUCGCUGGAUGAUAGUCUUACCAGCAACAAACAGAAGUACAAAAUUAAAAAAUAGAAAAAAACAUAGAACCAAUACAAACAAGACAGAAUUGUGAACAAAUCCUAAAAGCCCAAAUGAACAUGCGAUCAACUAAACCAUGAGACCAAUCAAUACGGCUAGGCAACCAGCUACUGUAGCAACAUAUCAAAUCAAACUUGCUAUGAACUGGUGUGAUUCGCAAAAUCCCAAGACCUUUAUAUUGGCAUAUGGUGGUGGUGGGAGUGGGAUAAUGCUCUGGUUGUUGUGCUAGUGAAUGCAUGCAUAUACUCACGUUGAAAGCGAAGAGGGACAUGGUCACCAUUUAAAGGCUGUAAGACAAUAGGCUUUGGGGGGAACCGGCACAACCCUCUAGGGGUGGCCUAUCACAUAUAUAUAUAAUGAGGUGGUAUACAACGUUACAAUAUACACAUGUAAAUACAGUCUAACACCCUCCCUCAAUCUUAGCCACUUUCUAAUGAAUCUAGAAGGGUAAGAUUGCGCCUGCAAGUCUCAAACUGUGGCAAAGGCAAUGGCUUGGUGAAGAUGUCAGCAAGUUGAUCCUUGGAAGAAAUAAACUUGAUCUGUAGUUGCUUCUGAGAGACACGCGCACGCACAAAGUGAUAGUCAACUUCAAUGUGUUUCGUUCGGGCAUGGAAUACCGGAUUUGCAGAAAGGUAUGUAGCACCGAUGUUAUCACACCAAAGAACAGGAGGCUGUGAUUGGGGUAUACUUAACUCCUGAAGCAAGGACUGUACCCAGAUAAUCUCUGAUGUGGCAUUGGCCACAGCCUUAUACUCAGCCUCAGUACUGCUACGCGAGACAGUAGCCUGUUUCCGAGCACUCCAGGCAAUCAGGUUAGAGCCAAAGAAGACAGCAUAACCCCCCGUGGAUCGCCUGUCAUCCGGAUUGCCAGCCCAGUCUGCAUCAGAAUAUGCUGAAAGACAACCAGAGUCAGACGGUCGAAUAUGCAAACCAUGAGCCACCGUGAAACGAAUAUAGCGCAAAAUCCGCUUAACAGCAGACCAAUGAGUGUCACGGGGUGACUGCAGAUACUGGCAGACUCAGUUAACAGCAUAGGAAAUGUCUGGUCGCGUGAUCGUCAAGUACUGGAGCCCACCAACAAUACUCCGGUACUCGGUCGCAUCAGAAGAAGAAAGAAGCACACCAUCAACAGCAUUGAGCUUAUCAGUGGUAGACAUGGGUGUAGUCGUCAGUUUGCACUUAAGCAUCCCAGCUCGCUGCAACAAAUCCAGAGAGUACUUCUUCUGCGUCAUAACAAGGCCAGCAGCACGAGAAGUAACCUCCACACCAAGAAAGUAAUGAAGCUUCCCAAGGUCCUUGACCGCAAAAUCAGCACCAAGUGAGCGAACAAGCGCAGUAGCAGUCGACUGAGAGGAGCUGACCAAAAUGAUAUCAUCUACAUAGACCAACAAGUACAUAGUAACCUCAGGCCUUUGAAGAAGAAACAAUGAGGAGUCAGCAGUUGAUGAUGCAAAACCAUGAGCACGAAGAGCCAUUGCAAGACGAGCAUGCCAAGCACGAGGAGCCUGCUUCAGACCAUAAAUUGCCUUGGACAGACGACAGAGAUGAUCAGGGCAAUCCGGAUCAGAGAAACCCGGAGGCUGGCGCAUGUAAACCUCCUCCGCCAAGACACCAUGAAGAAAAGCAUUUUGAACAUCAAGCUGACGAAGAAACCAACCUCGAGUAACAGCCAGAGAGAGAAGAAGUCUGAUGGUAGUAGGCUUGACCACUGGACUGAAGGUGUCUUCAUAGUCAAGUCCAAAACGCUGUCGAAAACCACGAGCAACCAGACGAGCCUUAUAGCGCUCAAUGGACCCAUCAGAAUGCCUCUUCACUUUGAAAACCCAUUUGGAAUCAAUGACAUUUACCCGUGAUUGUGGAGGAACAAGAGUCCAUGUCUGAUUGCGAAGAAGCGCUUGAUACUCCUGCUCCAUGGCCUCUCUCCAAUGAGGAAUGCGCAUAGCAGCUUGAUACGUGCGUGGCUCAGAGGAUGGAUCUGUGAGAGCAGCAGACAUGCACGCCGCUAACCAAGCAACUGUGCCAUCGUGACGUUGCUUAGGCUGAAAAAUGCCACUCCGACUGCGCGUAUGUGGACGUAGAGCAGCAGCAGGAGCCGGCGGAGGCGAAGGUGACGGAGACGUGACGGUCGCCGGAGAUGCAGGAAUCACCUCAGGCGAGCUCGGGACAGACGACUCCGGGCUGCAUGGCGAAGACUGGCCCGACGACAGGGGCUCAGAGGCCAUGGGCGAACCGAGGGUGGGCGAGGCCAGCUCCGGUGACACCGGCCCAGACGGCCUUGGCGAGGCGAGAGCAGGCGAGGCCGGCCCUGGUGAGAAGGGCCCAGACACCCUGGGCGAGGCAGGGGCGGGCGAGGCCAGACCUGGUGAUGACUGCCCCGACGCCCUGGGCGAGACGGGGACCGAGGAGGCCGGCCCAGUCGGCGGGGUUGCAGGGCGCGACGAUGGCGAAGGCAGCCCAGAAGCCAGAGGCGACCGGGCCAGGACGUCGAUCGGCCGUGCAUGAGCACGGAAACCGAGGCCAUGCAGGGGCGCCAUGUGCUCCUCAUGCACAACAGAAGGUGCCGAGGAUGAAGGCGAUGGCGACGAAGAGGAAGAUGGCGCUUCCAGAAUCUCCAAACGAGCCCCACGACCAGUGCCUGCACCAUGGUUAGGCAACAAUAGAGGAGAAUAUGCAACAUCAUCAAAUUGGUCAGAAGCAACAGAGGAUGAAUGCAUGACAGGUGGCUCGGUAGUGGACACAGGGAGUUUGGCAAAGGGAAAAACAUGCUCAUCAAACACAACAUCCCGAGAGAUGUAGACACGAUUAGUGGGAACAUGAAGACAUUUGUAUCCUUUAUGAAGAGAGCUAUAACCAAGAAAAACACACUUCUUGGAACGAAACUCGAGCUUACGCUUGUUAUAUGGACGGAGAUGGGGCCAGCAAGCACACCCAAACACCUUGAGAAAGGUGUAAUCCGGUUGUUCAUUAAGGAGAACUUCAAUGGGAGUCUUCAUAUUCAAAACACGAGUGGGAGUACGAUUGAUGAGAAAACAUGCAGUGGUGAAAGCAUCACUCCAAAAACGAAACGGAACAGAUGCAUGGGCCAAAAGAGUCAGACCAGCUUCAACAAUGUGACGAUGCUUACGUUCUACUGAACCAUUCUGCUGAUGUGUAUGUGGACAUGCUAAACGGUGAGUGAUCCCAAGCGACUGAAAGAAGGAGUUGAGGUUGCGAUACUCGCCACCCCAGUCCGACUGAACAUGAACAAUUUUGUGCUUGAGAAGGCGUUCAACAUGUUUUUGGAACUGAACAAAAAUGUCAAACACAUCAGAUUUACGUUUGAUAAGAUAAAGCCAGGUAAAGCGGCUGUAAGCAUCAACAAAACUGAUAUAAUAAUUAUGACCACUAACAGAAGUCUGAGCAGGGCCCCAUACAUCUGAAAACACAAGUUCUAAAAGAUGUUUCACCUCACGACUGGACUCCGAAAAAGGAAGUUGAUGACUCUUCCCCUGCUGACAAGCAUCACACACUGCUACAUCUUUAUUACUAGACACACUAGGAAGCUCAUGACGACACAAAACAUGCCGGACAAUAGGUGUGGCCGGGUGACCAAGACGAGCAUGCCACUGUGAUGGAGAUACCCGAACUCCACUGAAGACGCGAGCGACGCCAGGAUGCUCCAGACGAUAGAGACCUUGGCAGAGCCGCCCACUAAGAAGAAUGUCCCUCGUGCCCCGAUCCUUAAUAAAAAGAUCAAAAGGAUGAAAUUCACAAAGCACAUUAUUAUCACGAGUGAGUUUAGGAACUGAAAGAAGAUUACGUGUCACAGAUGGAACUCGAAGAACAUUGCGAAGUUGAAGACUCCUAUUGGCAUGUCUAGUGAGAAGUGAUGCUUGACCAAUAUGAGAGAUGUGCAUACCUGCUCCAUUGGCGGUGUGGAUCUUGUCGGAGCCAUGGUAGGGUUCACGAGUGUGAAGCUUCCCCAUCUCACUGGUCAGGUGCUCUGUCGCCCCAGAGUCCAUGUACCAGUGGGGAUCAAUGGAGUAGGACUGAGUGUGUCCCUGUGGCUUCUGCGGCGGUGGACGAUCAGCCAUGGCGACCUGACGAGCAAAGUUGCGUGUAUCCUUCCCGUCAUUGCCAAGACCAAGAAAACCCCGCUGGAAGCGCUUGUGACACUUCGAGGCCCAGUGCCCAUCGCGACCACAAAGCUGGCACACACGUGGACCGCCAGCCCCUGGUAGCGUCGCAGUAGGAGGAGGGGCCGAGGCGGGUGGUGGUGACUGCCCCGAAGGAGCCCUGGAUGAAGCAGAGGAGCGACCACCCUUGGUGGCGGCGUUUGCCGAGAGGGCGCCGUUGCCCCUGGAUCGGCGCGUCUCGACUCGUUGCUCAGUAAGCAGGAGGCGUGAAAAGACCUCGUGUGCUGGCAUGGGCGUGGAGUUGCCCCUCUCAUUGAUGAUCUCGACUAGGGCGUCAUACUCCUCAUCAAGACCAUUGACGAUAAACGAGUUGAACUCGGAGUCGGUGAGGGGCUGUCCAAUGGAGGCCAGCGUGUCGGCGAGACUCUUGACUUUGUUGUAGAACUCAGUGGCGGUGGAGUCAAGCUUCUGACAUUCCCCAAGUUGGCGACGGAGCCCAGAUACACGAGCCUGCGACUGUGCCGCAAACGAGCGCUCAAGAAUAGUCCAUGCCUCGUGGGACGUCUUGGCGAAGACAACAAGCCCAGCAACGGCCGGAGAGAGCGACCCCUGGAUGGAGGAGAGGUUCGCCUGAUCCUGCCCUGUCCAGACACGGUGAGCCGGAUUAUAGACCGGACCAUGCACGCUGUCAACCAGCGCAGGAGGGCAAGGGAGAGAGCCGUCGACAUAGCCAAGCAGGUAGUGACUCCCAAGAAGCGGAAGAACCUGCGCGCGCCAGAAGAUGUAAUUAUCCGACGACAACUUGAUGGUGAUGAGAUGGCCGAAGUGAAACGGCGGCGGCGGCUGCGAUCCCAUCGAGGAGACUGGCUGAGGUGAGAACACCGUGGAGACAGUCGGAGGGGCAGCCGGCGCGGUGACAGAGGGCGCGAUGGCCGCGGUUGACGGGGCGGCGGUGGUGUGGGCCACAAGCGCCUGCCCGGGCGAAGUAGCAGCCGGCGGGAGCGCGAAGAGGGAGCCGACGCUCCGUGUCCCGAUCGGCGCCUGAAGGGAGGCGGCAUCCAGCGGCCUCGAGAGAAGUGCCGCGAGGGAGGCCGGCAGAAAACCGGUGGCGGUGGAGUCGGACGCAGCGGCGGACGUCAUAGCAGUCGGGCGACGGCGGCGGCGGCGGCGGCGGUUUAGGGUUUUUAGGCGGAAGCGGACGUAACCUAGUGUGAUAUCAUGUAAGACAAUAGGCUUUGGGGGGAACCGGCACAACCCUCUAGGGGUGGCCUAUCACACAUAUAUAUAAUGAGGUGGUAUACAAUGUUACAAUAUACACAUGUAAAUACAGUCUAACAAAGGCUCAGGGUGAUUUGUAUUUAAAGCCCUGCAUCGUCAACAAAUUAAUUGCGAUUUGGUUAUGCUUGGCGUUGUCCGGAGUUUUCAUUUCCCUACGGCGUGUUUCAUCAAAUUGGAAGGUUAGUUUUGGCCUAUGGGAGUCCCAUGUUUACAUCCGUUCGGAGUGGUGGAGUUGUCCUGGAUCGGAGCGGUGAAGUUGCUAGCCUAGUCUUCUUUCUGUAGGGUCCUGUGCUCGGACCACCCUUUGUUGCUUCGUUUUUAUGUUUUAAUUAAUUCAGUCUCUAUCGAAUGUACCUACUGUCGUGCCUGUGGCUGUUUUAAGAAUC